UUCAAAUUUUCUCAACAAGCAUACGUAGUUUUCUACAAGCACAAAUAUGUAUGUGUAUAUAUGCAUAAAUGUAUAUGUGUGUGUAUAUAUAUAUAUAUAUAUAAAUGAUGUUUCAGUACAAAGUUUUGUAACUUUUUAAAACAAAGCUAUAAAUCUCUCAUGCAAUUUAGAAGAAUUACCACUCAAACUUCAAACAGUCACGUGCAAUCUUGUGACAUCACUUCUAGACCUGUGUCCAUUCUAAGUUGAAUGGAGGCAUCAGAGUUUGGAUUUUAAAUCAGAAGACUUGGAUUACAAUUCUGACUUGGCUAUUGAAGUGGUAUUGACUUAACUUACCUGGCUUUUGAACACUGUGAAUCGCUGAUGACACUGAAUGCCAUUGCCCCACCCCAGAUUGUCCGGCUUCAAGGCGGUUUCAUUGAGAUAGCUACAGUGGGUGAAGGGUGCGUUCUCCUUCAGAGGUGCCCUAACAGCCUGUGCCUGAGCGCAACAGACUGCACUUCCUCCAGUGUACCACGUGGUGGCGCCUUUUGACAUUGCCAGCCUCCUAGUUUAGGUUUUGUUCUUUAUUAUCUUUUUUUAUUCUUUCUGAAAUUUAAGACCAUUCCCCAACUCCCUUCCAACUUCCCCUUUUCAUUAGAAAGGAAAUUCAGAGAGGAAGGUAACAGUACCUAAUUUCACCAGUUCCUAUGUUAAAAAUUAAUAUUCUUUUAGUUAAUUGAUCUUUUGGAGAUCAAAAGUGUUGGUUUAGGAGUGGGGAUAUAGAUAUAUUUUUCUUUGCUUUUUAAUGAGUUUAUUAUGUUGGAGCGUUAGUCAUCUUGUGGAAUUAAGUGAGUCUUCCACCAAUCAGGCUGAAAUAAUUCACAUUUUUGAUAAAACCCCAAAGUCCAGCUGAUGCAUGGCAGAGAUUGUUUGGGUUUGAAACAUAUGGUGGUUAAAAAAAAAAAAAAAAACUGAGUCCUCAACCACAAAUACAUCAGCAUUUCAAAGGUUUCUAAAAUGUUUGAUUCAUCACUGUCCCAGCCUCUGAAAUUGCACAAUAUGUUCCUCAAAGUCAAGAUAAUCAAGAAAGGGGAAAAGUUUUAACUUACAAGAUUUAAAAAUACAUUCCUUAGUUCGUUAUACAGCUGCCACCUUAUCUGAAUUACACUUAUUUUAAACACUGUAGGUUCUGGUUAUCCUCACACACACACACACAAACACGCACAUUACUGCAAGUAUGAGCUGAAUAUACAAAACCUAUAUAAAUGAGCAAUCUCAUUUGUACUGGGUCUAUUUACAACAGCGUUGCGCCUUGUGGGACUCUAUUUUAAAUGGCACAUCUUCUGUUUUACCUAUAUUAAAUACUGAUGUGGCCUUCUCUCCCUCCUACCUUGAUCUUUUCAAGGCUCGUUUUGGCUGUAUUUAUUUUAUAAAGCAGGGUAGUCUGCUGACCGCAGCUGUGAACUUCAAGGUUUAAUUUUCUAGUUCUAUAUAUCAGAAGACAAGUAUGCCAUGGGGUAAAUCACUUAGCCUUUCUUUGUUUCCAUUUUUUUCCACCUGACCAAGUAAGACUCUUUAUUUUCUUUUUGGAGAUUUUUUCCCCAAAGAAUUCACUAAAUAAUGUAUAAGAUUUGAAGGUGGUGUUUUCUGGGGGGGACUAAGACAGAGUAUUUCCUUUGAGAGGAGAAAAUGGCCCAUUGUUGGAGCAUAGGAUGAAAUUCCGAUUCUAAUUUAUUCUCUUUGAACCUGAUGGUAAGUGUUCCUUGCUGUAAGAUGUAGUCCUUCGGGCAUUUCCACUAACCAGACCUUUCGUCCGAAGGGCUGGUACCUUUUGCACUGCUAAAGAGAGAUUCCCCCACCCCUCACCCCGUAGUUCCAAUGCUAAAUUUUAUAAUGGUCUGCUAAAUUUCCCGGUCGAAGCUAACUUACACUAAAAGCCAGUCUCCAGGUCUCGUGCAGCGCCUCCCCAUCUUCUGCCUGGUGGAGCCAGCUUGUCCCUUCCCUUUGUUCUGCCAUGGUGACUCACCAUAAUUUGGAUCCACUUGAGUUUUUAAAGGGGAAACUCUGUCUCUUCCUGAUUGUGCAUUAAUUCACAUAUUCCUUUAUUCAGUGAGCACAUAUUGAGUCCCUCCUUGGUACCAAGCAUUAUGUUUGAGAUACAGGAUGAAUAGGACUCUGAAAUGCUUUGAGAGAAAUGUUAAUACCUGUGUGUGUGUGUGUGUGUGUGUGUGUGUGUGUGUGUGUGUGUGUGUGUGUUUAAGUUGUAUAUAAUCACUGUCUCCACCCCCUCCAAAAAGACCAGAACUGAUUAGAAGAGAAAGACUAACUUGGUGCAUGGAAUUCUGUAUGCGUGCCAAAUACUGCUGCAAAAAAGAUUUGGCUUCUGAGUGAAAAGACACCAACCAAGCAUUUGAUUUCUAUGGUUGAACACUCUCAAGAUCUUGCUCUCCUAUAUUUCAUUUAAAAAAUUGCUCCCCGAAGUGCAAACUGACUUCAAUUUUGAAUAAAAUGUAGCAUUCAAAUUUAUAGCCACUUUGAAAACUGAGGGUUUAUUUAGAUCAUGUGAACCUGAACAGAUUCUUAAUUACAGCAGCCCUGUUGCACAUAGAGAAUCUGGGUUACAAAAAAAAAAAAAA
Mustela erminea (ermine) is the source of this 2618-nucleotide long non-coding RNA. RefSeq lists it as uncharacterized. NCBI's taxonomy places the organism in Eukaryota, Metazoa, Chordata, Mammalia, Carnivora, Mustelidae. The record is from RefSeq and is a predicted model, not a curated record. The transcript has 2 exons.